Molecule: ribosomal RNA, 467 nt
Filed under: uncultured bacterium
Lineage: Bacteria
Description: partial 16S ribosomal RNA
Rfam family: Bacterial small subunit ribosomal RNA
Source: RNAcentral
GACGAACGCUGGCGGCGUGCUUAACACAUGCAAGUCGAACGGAAAGGCUCCAGCUUGCUGGAGUGCUCGAGUGGCGAACGGGUGAGUAACACGUGGGCAAUCUGCCCUGCACUCUGGGAUAAGCCUGGGAAACUGGGUCUAAUACCGGAUAGGACCUUUCUCCUCAUGGGGUUUGGUGGAAAGUUUUUCGGUGCAGGAUGAGCCCGCGGCCUAUCAGCUUGUUGGUGGGGUAAUGGCAUACCAAGGCGACGACGGGUAGCCGGCCUGGGAGGGUGAUCGGCCACAUUGGGACUGAGAUACGGCCCAGACUCCUACGGUAGACAGCAGUGGGGAAUAUUGCACAAUGGGCGAAAGCCUGAUGCAGCGACGCCGCGUGAGGGAUGACGGCCUUCGGGUUGUAAACCUCUUUCAGUAGAGACGAAGCGCAAGUGACGGUACCUGCAGAAGAAGCACCGGCUAACUACGUG